Molecule: ribosomal RNA, 429 nt
Filed under: Gemmatimonadota bacterium
Lineage: Bacteria; Pseudomonadati; Gemmatimonadota
Description: Gemmatimonadetes bacterium partial 16S ribosomal RNA
Rfam family: Bacterial small subunit ribosomal RNA
Source: RNAcentral
UAGGGAAUCUUCGGCAAUGGACGAAAGUCUGACCGAGCAACGCCGCGUGAGUGAAGAAGGUUUUUGGAUCGUAAAACUCUGUUGUUAGAGAAGAACAAGGACGUUAGUAACUGAACGUCCCCUGACGGUAUCUAACCAGAAAGCCACGGCUAACUACGUGCCAGCAGCCGCGGUAAUACGUAGGUGGCAAGCGUUGUCCGGAUUUAUUGGGCGUAAAGCGAGCGCAGGCGGUUUCUUAAGUCUGAUGUGAAAGCCCCCGGCUCAACCGGGGAGGGUCAUUGGAAACUGGGAGACUUGGGUGCAGAAGAGGAGAGUGGAAUUCCAUGUGUAGCGGUGAAAUGCGUAAAUAUAUGAAGGAACACCAGUGGCGAAGGCGGCUCUCUGGUCUGUAACUAACGCUGAGGCUCGAAAGCGUGGGGAGCAAACAGG